UAAGAUAAGUGCAAUUGCAAUAAAAUAUUUCCGUUUACCUGUCCGUUCGUUUUUUGUGGGGUUUUUUUAUGAGCUAUGUUGCGAGGCGAAUGGUUGUUUCUGCGAGUAAGUCUUCUUUUGUGGAGAGAAUUCGCCUGCAUGGAAUAUAAGCGGUAGUGUGUUUUCACAUGGCGACACUGUCUGAUGGACAUUUUAUCACCAAGAAAAUGUCAAGAGCGAGGCCAGGAUUUCCACUUCUGCCGCCUUUCGAAAGGCAUCUCCAACCGCUCCGUCUGCUCCCCCCUCUGCCCCUCCCUCCUGCGGCCUCUGCCUUGAAAGCCGCCAGGUACAGCGGUGCCCAGAUGCCGGACAGCGGUGGCAGCCUGGCGGAC
Long non-coding RNA from Conger conger (European conger), 371 nucleotides. RefSeq lists it as uncharacterized. The record is from RefSeq and is a predicted model, not a curated record. The transcript is spliced from 3 exons. Lineage: Eukaryota; Metazoa; Chordata; Actinopteri; Anguilliformes; Congridae.